AACGAACGCUGGCGGUAUGCUUAACACAUGCAAGUCGAACGAACAAAAUUGGGGCUUGCUCCAAUUUUAGUGGGUGGCAAACGGGUGAGUAACACGUGGGAAUCUACCUAUCAGUACGGAAUAACAUUUGGAAACAGAUGCUAAUACCGUAUAUUCUCCAAGGAGGAAAGAUUUAUCGCUGAUAGAUGAGUCCGCGCAAGAUAAGGUAGUUGGUAGGGUAAUGGCCUACCAAGCCUACGAUCUUUAGCUGGUCUGAGAGGAUGAUCAGCCACACUGGGACUGAGACACGGCCCAGACUCCUACGGGAGGCAGCAGUGGGGAAUAUUGGACAAUGGGCGAAAGCCUGAUCCAGCAAUACCGCGUGAAUGAUGAAGGCCUUAGGGUUGUAAAGUUCUUUUAGUUGGAAAGAUAAUGACGGUACCAACAGAAAAAGCCCCGGCUAACUCCGUGCCAGCCGCCGCCGUAA
Molecule: ribosomal RNA, 466 nt
Filed under: uncultured bacterium
Lineage: Bacteria
Description: partial 16S ribosomal RNA
Rfam family: Bacterial small subunit ribosomal RNA
Source: RNAcentral